ACUCUUGCAUUUAAACAAAUCUGUGGGCAAAAGAACUUUGCAAGAUAGUGUAGCAUAGCACACUACCUUGGGCUUUUGAAAUCCACACAGUAGUUGAACUGGAAAUCUAAGAUAGGUCCUGAGUGAUGUCUGGUUGUAAAUAGAUUAGUUUGUUCUACUGACUCUCUGAAUGAGAUAUCCUGACAGAAGGAUGUCAUCUAAUCAGCUACAUGAAGCAGCAACAAGCUUGGUCAGGAACAGCUCAGUACCUCCACACUGCUCUGCAUGUCGCAGGGGACAUUGUAAAUAUACUCUAACUACAAUGGAUGUCACCAAGAAACAAGAGACUAAGCUGGGAAUCCUGCGUGGAGUUUUACAGGAAAGAGAUGGGCAAAGUCCCUAGUGCUCCUAGGUAAGCAGUGGCUGGGAUGGAGGAACUUCUCCUGCUCCAGGAGCCAGGGAAGUCUUACGAAGGACUGAAAAAAGUGCUUUCCAAAUGGUCUGAUAAUGGUCUAUGUGCAAGGAACUAAGGAAUAAUUUAUCUCUUUUCAUGCUGUUUGCCAGUAACUGCUGAGUUACACGAUGCAUUUGGUUCCUCCUUACAAAAGCAGUUUUAUGAUCAAUCAUUAAGCUAGUCCACUCCUUGCUUGGUCUUCAUAUUAUGGUGCACCAGUGUCAUACUUCUAAGUUUUUCAAGAUAGAAGAUUUUUGUGUGUGGAAGAAAAACACAAGAAAGAUGAUAAGGAAGAGCAAGAGAAAUGUGAACUUCAUGAGAUAAUUCUUCAUGUAGGCAUUUCUUUUGUCUUAUAAAAAUAUACCACUUAAGAUCUGGCUGCAAAAGCUCAUAACCCCGUUGACAUAUAUAUCUCAAUUAAAAUCAAGAGAUUGGCAUCAUUGCAAAAUUGCUGCAGUUAGAAUAAAAAUCAGUUCAUCUAUGUAUUUUUAUUUAUUUCUAUGAAGGGCACUAUAACUAUAAACUCUGUAUGUCUUACAAAUAUUCAGACUUAUUGGGUAAGGAAAAUGUUGCUGUCUUCAAUUGCAAAACAACGUGACUGACAGAAGGAAAAAGAAAGCUGAAGGCCAAGGAGAAAGUUAGUGACAGAACUGAGAAUAGAAAGAAGGGCUCUGCUGCUUUGUGCACUCCCGCUUUUACUAAGUCAGUAGGAAUCUCAGAACUAAAAUUUCACAUGAACUCAUAGUUUGCUAGACAUAAGUCACACAAAGAAGAUCAAAUAACACCAUUAUUUUCUUCUGUGUAGAAUCCUAGAAGGAAAUAAGGUUAUUUUAUUACCAGAGCGUGAUUCUAUUUCACAUAACAAAAAUUUCACUUCAGGUGAUCGUACCUCCAUCCCUGCAAAAUGCCAGACUGGAUGUGGCCCUGACUAGCCUGGUCUAGUGGGUAAUGAUCCUGCCAUGGGUUGAAACUAGAUGAUUUUUGAGGUCCUUUUCACUGCUUUUGAAGCGUUUUGAAAAUAUCCUUGCAUUUAAUGUGGCAGCAGGCUCAAAGCACUGGUCAGAAGAAAGCACCAAGAUACAUCUAUAGCAAAUGCAUGGUAGUUUUACAGUUUUUGGCUUGCAUUUGUUUCAGAGAGCUUUUCUGAACUGAUUGUUUGUUCCAAAGAUGGAAAAACAGUCCCUGGCCACCUCAUUUUUGGCAAGUAGCUGGUGAAGGCCUUUCAGUUUGGCCAGAGACUAAGUAGCAUUCAGAGAAAUAUCACAUGCUGGGCAGGAGCUUAUAGGGCUUAAUAACAGAGGAGAGUACACAUUCCUGUUUGUCAUCUGGCUUCAUUAUAUCAGGUAAUUCUGGAGCACAGGCCUGACUAUCAAAUUACAACCACUCAUUUUCUUGCAUAUUUGACACAGUUCCUGAUGCAGGUAUUGUUCAUGGUAGCUGCGAUCUUUCCAGACAUAUCAUGGGCAUUUUGAGGAGAUUUAAUGUAAACCAAAUGUUAUUUCCAGUAAACAGCCCUUGUGUCUUAUAGGGUCAGAGUUAAGCAACAUGGAAAUGGGCUGUGUUGAGGCAAUCAAACGCAGGACUAGAGUAGGUAUCUUGGAGCAUUUUAUUUACAAACAUAGGUAAAAACUCUGGGAUAGUAAUAAAUCUCAGUGUCCAUUUUAUUUCUUCCAGAUAUUCAUAACCUUUCUUUUCUGAACUAUUAAUUCUUGAUGAACCAGAGGUUUAAAGCUAUAUGGCAUGACAAGUAAUAUUUUUUGAGUGUAUGUUUUACUCACUGCUUCCAUUAGAUGCUUGUCAAGUGUUCACUGCCUUAAAGGUAAACUUGAAGAA
Long non-coding RNA from Tympanuchus pallidicinctus (lesser prairie-chicken), 2266 nucleotides. RefSeq lists it as uncharacterized. The transcript has 2 exons. Lineage: Eukaryota; Metazoa; Chordata; Aves; Galliformes; Phasianidae. The record is from RefSeq and is a predicted model, not a curated record.